This 320-nucleotide ribosomal RNA is filed under the name Salmonella enterica subsp. enterica serovar Thompson. RNAcentral describes it as "bacterial LSU rRNA". It matches the Rfam family "Bacterial large subunit ribosomal RNA", at positions 501 to 722 of the family's 2925-position model. RNAcentral also lists the same sequence under 1 other name. The record is from RNAcentral. Lineage: Bacteria; Pseudomonadati; Pseudomonadota; Gammaproteobacteria; Enterobacterales; Enterobacteriaceae.
CCGUGAGGGAAAGGCGAAAAGAACCCCGGCGAGGGGAGUGAAAAAGAACCUGAAACCGUGUACGUACAAGCAGUGGGAGCCCCACCACUAAGCCAGUGGUGAACUCCACAUACGCAUCCUUUGCUGAGGAUACGGUUAACGGAGCGAAAGCGACGUUCAACCGCAAAAGAAGCAGAGGGGGCUUAGUGGUGGGGUGACUGCGUACCUUUUGUAUAAUGGGUCAGCGACUUAUAUUCUGUAGCAAGGUUAACCGUAUAGGGGAGCCGUAGGGAAACCGAGUCUUAACCGGGCGUUAAGUUGCAGGGUAUAGACCCGAAACC